GACGAACGCUGGCGGCGUGCCUAAUACAUGCAAGUCGAACGAGAGCGACCGGUGCUUGCACUGUUCAAUCUAGUGGCGCACGGGUGAGUAACACGUGGGUAACCUGCCCAUCAGAGGGGGAUAACAUCCGGAAACGGAUGCUAACACCGCAUAGGUCUUCGAACCGCAUGGUUUGAAGAGGAAAAGAGGCGCAAGCUUCUGCUGAUGGAUGGACCCGCGGUGCAUUAGCUGGUUGGUGUGGUAACGGCUCACCAAGGCCGUGAUGCAUAGCCGACCUGUGGGGGUGAUCGGCCACAUUGGAACGGAGACACGGCCCAAACUCCUACGGGAGGCAGCAGUAGGGAAUCUGCCGCAAUGGACGCAAGUCUGACGGAGCAACGCCGCGUGAGUGAAGAAGGUGUUCGGAUCGUAAAACUCUGUUGUUAGAGAAGAACAAGUGCUAGAGUAACUGUUAGCGCCUUGACGGUAUCUAACCAGAAAGCAACGGCUAACUACGUG
RNAcentral lists this ribosomal RNA (498 nucleotides) under uncultured bacterium. RNAcentral's name for it is "partial 16S ribosomal RNA". It matches the Rfam family "Bacterial small subunit ribosomal RNA", at positions 28 to 507 of the family's 1533-position model. The record is from RNAcentral.